Sycon ciliatum is the source of this 1582-nucleotide long non-coding RNA. RefSeq lists it as uncharacterized. NCBI's taxonomy places the organism in Eukaryota, Metazoa, Porifera, Calcarea, Leucosolenida, Sycettidae. The transcript has 2 exons. The record is from RefSeq and is a predicted model, not a curated record.
UAACGACUGUUAUAAUAAGAAUUACUUUAGCAAGUCACGGAACGCAAAGUAAUGUUAGUUUGUCUCUCUGCAGCUCAGCAGAGAUCGGGAACCUACCUGCGUUCCAGACCCCAUAGUAUUCACCACCUGCCAAGCCGAAGCGAAGGCACACCACGACACGGUCGACACCAUGCAUGCUCUUUCGGUGUAAAAUAGACCGAUCCCCUUAUUAUACUGGGUUCGAGCACGGGGGCAACCUCACUCGCGAUCGAGCUAGUUUUUGAACGUGACAGCAUCUUUGACAGUGUGUUUCAGGUUUGUUUUGGAAUGUCUUCUGCUUAGUUCAAGUAGUUUGCGAUGGCUUCGAGCGGUGCUAAACCUCCUGCUGGUAGGAGCAGAGUCUCCGAGAGAGACAUGGACUGUGAUGCCGCUGCAGGAUUUUUUCAAGGCGCGGGAGGGAACGAUCUCGGGCCACAAACAGGAGUUACUCCAGAGAGCCAUCUUCUAUGAAGGUAACCGUGGUGCUGCCAAGUCACCAAGUCGCGAUCAGCAGCCCUGAAGUGGAAAAUCGAUUUUCCAACGAUCUGGUUGGACAUCAGCCACUAAAGUACUUCUGAUUUGCCUGUAAUGACAACAGCAGCCAUCCUUGGACACCUUGCAAAGACAGGAAAAGCCACUGGUGGAAGCGACUGCUAUGAGGUGACGAUAGCAGUGCAGUGGUGAUCGCUGUUUUGUCAAGUCGAAGGGCUAGCCAACCCAGAGGAAGCAUAAAAAAACGAUGAGCAGUGCGUGUUAUUUGUUGAGCGUGAAGAGCUAGAGGAGGACAGUGCAAAAACAUGGACGGAGUGGAUGGUGUUUGAAGAACAGUGUGCUGUGUGCCGGCUGGUGGUGAUGGUGGUCUUUGUCAGCAUGUAUUCGUGCUGCUCCUUGUGCUGGAACACUUCUCGCCCAGGAAGGUAGAUUGCGUGCUCCCUGGCCCUCAGUUGGCUAUGGGGCAUUUGUUCCAGGAACAUUACCCCAGAGCCAAUGAUGAGUCGUACCUUUGAAAAGUCGAAGCUUGCUGUUAAUCGCAAGCGCAGCGCAGUGGAUUGCUCCCUCUUCGAAGCACGAGGGCCAAAGCUUGCCGCUGUCUGCAGCAAAGUGUGUGUGCGGUUCUUUCGAACCUAUGAAUAUACCCCCUGCACGUUCAGAGUGAACUAUUUUCUAGUAUAUUUAACAUCCUCAACCCGCCACCGCCAUGCGCUCUUGGCCGAACUAAUGCACGAAGCAUAAACACACCAGCACAGCAAGGACACUUCCGUUGACAGAUAUUGUUUACGCCUCUAGACCGCUGUUUCUUUUCUUCGAGCUCAUCGUUAGAGGAGGAUAGUAGCAGGAUACUAAUGAUGAUAUAAUAGAAGAUGAUAGACGGUUUAUGGUCCGAUAUUGAUGAUUGAAGAUCUAAGAAAGCAAUGACAGUGAUUGCGAAAUGGAUAAUAUUAUCAUGAUUAUAUGCCAGUCUGGUAAUGCGUUGUACUAGUGGACAGUAUUGAAAUCAUCACUGCAUUUGAUGCAAAUAUUGGUAUACCUUUGGUUUCAGUAUUGGAAAAAAAGAGUAAGAGAA